GCCUAAAGCGUCCGUAGCCUGUUCUAUAAGUUUCCGGUUAAAUCCAUUAGCUCAACUAAUGGGCUGCCGAAAAUACUGUAGAACUAGGGAGUGGGAGAGGUAGACGGUAUUCAGUAGGAAGGGGUAAAAUCCUUUGAUCUAUUGAGGACCACCUGUGGCGAAGGCGGUCUACCAGAACACGUUCGACGGUGAGGGAUGAAAGCUGGGGGAGCAAACCGGAUUAGAUACCCGGGUAGUCCCAGCUGUAAACGAUGCAGACUCGGUGAUGCCCUGGCUUGUGGCCAGUGCAGUGCCGCAGGGAAGCCGUUAAGUUUGCCGCCUGGGAAGUACGUACGCAAGUAUGAAACUUAAAGGAAUUGGCGGGGGAGCACCACAAGGGGUGAAGCCUGCGGUUCAAUUGGAGUCAACGCCAGAAAUCUUACCCGAAGAGACAGCAGAAUGAAGGUCAAGCUGGAGACUUUACCAGACAAGCUGAGAAGUGGUGCAUGGCCGUCGCCAGCUCGUGCCGUGAGAUGUCCUGUUAAGUCAGGUAACGAGCGAGAUCCCUGCCUCUAGUUGCCACCAUUACUCUCAGGAGUAGUGGGGCGAAUUAGCGGGACCGCCGCAGUUAAUGCGGAGGAAGGAAGGGGCCACGGCAGGUCAGUAUGCCCCGAA
This 654-nucleotide ribosomal RNA is filed under the name uncultured archaeon. RNAcentral's name for it is "bacterial SSU rRNA". It matches the Rfam family "Archaeal small subunit ribosomal RNA", at positions 508 to 1160 of the family's 1478-position model. The record is from RNAcentral.